AUUGAACGCUGGCGGCAGGCUUAACACAUGCAAGUCGAGCGGGGUGAUGGUGCUUGCACUAUCACCUAGCGGCGGACGGGUGAGUAAUGCUUAGGAAUCUGCCUAUUAGUGGGGGACAACAUCUCGAAAGGGAUGCUAAUACCGCAUACGUCCUACGGGAGAAAGCAGGGGAUCACUCGUGACCUUGUGCUAAUAGAUGAGCCUAAGUCGGAUUAGCUAGUUGGUGGGGUAAAGGCCUACCAAGGCGACGAUCUGUAGCGGGUCUGAGAGGAUGAUCCGCCACAAUGGGACUGAGACACGGCCCAGACUCCUACGGGAGGCAGCAGUGGGGAAGAUUGGACAAUGGGGGGAACCCUGAUCCAGCCAUGCCGCGUGUGUGAAGAAGGCCUUAUGGUUGUAAAGCACUUUAAGCGAGGAGGAGGCUCUUUUGGUUAAUACCCAAGAUGAGUGGACGUUACUCGCAGAAUAAGCACCGGCCAACUCUGUGCCAGCCGCCGCCGUAA
This 503-nucleotide ribosomal RNA is filed under the name uncultured bacterium. RNAcentral's name for it is "partial 16S ribosomal RNA". It matches the Rfam family "Bacterial small subunit ribosomal RNA", at positions 30 to 523 of the family's 1533-position model. The record is from RNAcentral.